UGCAGUCGAGCGGUAGAGAGAAGCUUGCUUCUCUUGAGAGCGGCGGACGGGUGAGUAAUGCCUAGGAAUCUGCCUGGUAGUGGGGGAUAACGUUCGGAAACGGACGCUAAUACCGCAUACGUCCUACGGGAGAAAGCAGGGGACCUUCGGGCCUUGCGCUAUCAGAUGAGCCUAGGUCGGAUUAGCUAGUUGGUGGGGUAAUGGCUCACCAAGGCGACGAUCCGUAACUGGUCUGAGAGGAUGAUCAGUCACACUGGAACUGAGACACGGUCCAGACUCCUACGGGAGGCAGCAGUGGGGAAUAUUGGACAAUGGGCGAAAGCCUGAUCCAGCCAUGCCGCGUGUGUGAAGAAGGUCUUCGGAUUGUAAAGCACUUUAAGUUGGGAGGAAGGGCAGUAAAUUAAUACUUUGCUGUUUUGACGUUACCGACAGAAUAAGCACCGGCUAACUCUCGUGCC
Molecule: ribosomal RNA, 458 nt
Filed under: Pseudomonas sp.
Lineage: Bacteria; Pseudomonadati; Pseudomonadota; Gammaproteobacteria; Pseudomonadales; Pseudomonadaceae
Description: bacterial SSU rRNA
Rfam family: Bacterial small subunit ribosomal RNA
Source: RNAcentral